AUUGAACGCUGGCGGCAGGCCUAACACAUGCAAGUCGAGCGGAUGAAGGGAGCUUGCUCCUGGAUUCAGCGGCGGACGGGUGAGUAAUGCCUAGGAAUCUGCCUGGUAGUGGGGGAUAACGUCCGGAAGCGGGCGCUAACACCGCAUACGUCCUGAGGGAGAAAGUGGGGGAUCUUCGGACCUCACGCUAUCAGAUGAGCCUAGGUCGGAUUAGCUAGUUGGUGGGGUAAAGGCCUACCAAGGCGACGAUCCGUAACUGGUCUGAGAGGAUGAUCAGUCACACUGGAACUGAGACACGGUCCAGACUCCUACGGGAGGCAGCAGUGGGGAAUAUUGGACAAUGGGCGAAAGCCUGAUCCAGCCAUGCCGCGUGUGUGAAGAAGGUCUUCGGAUUGUAAAGCACUUUAAGUUGGGAGGAAGGGCAGUAAGUUAAUACCUUGCUGUUUUGACGUUACCAACAGAAUAAGCACCGGCUAACUUCGUG
This 484-nucleotide ribosomal RNA is filed under the name uncultured bacterium. RNAcentral's name for it is "partial 16S ribosomal RNA". It matches the Rfam family "Bacterial small subunit ribosomal RNA", at positions 30 to 507 of the family's 1533-position model. The record is from RNAcentral.